CAAGUGAGUGUGAUUUUGAAGAAAGGAGGAAAGAUGUGAAAAGUGAUUAGUCAGCCACAUUCAUGGUGUUGAGAAAAGAAUUUGCUUUUCUGGAACAUAGCCUGUGAUAGCAGAACAACGUCUGGCAAGAAACAGGUUAUAUUUGGCUGGAGAGUCAUUGGCACUAUCAAGAAAUAUUAAAGUGUAGAUUUGAGAGAGGAGGAGAAAGACCCAAGCAAAAUUGAAAACCAGGUGAGACCCAGACAGCAGCAAAGCAAUGGAAGCAUGUAUUUUGGUCAAUAUAGAGUUAAUACACAAUUUUGCCCCUCUUCUUCUGAUCAUGGGACUCAUAUUACCAGUCUUCACAUUUCCUUUAAAUUCAGGAAUCAGGAAGAAUUUCCAGAGUGUGCAGAUGAACACAUUUGCUGCUUCCAUUCUAAACAUAAGUUAUAAGAACUUUUCAACUGGAUUCCAACUUUAAUAUGUCACAAACAUAAAAAAGAAAGCUAUUUCCUGGACUUUUCUUCAUUAGAAAUUAAUAGAUUGUCAAUUGGCAAUAUAAUUGUAGGGAAAAUAUAAUCAACAGAUGUCAAUCCCAAGUUAACAGAAAUGCUAAAAUUAUAAGA
This 605-nucleotide long non-coding RNA is filed under the name Pongo abelii (Sumatran orangutan). RNAcentral describes it as "lincRNA". Lineage: Eukaryota; Metazoa; Chordata; Mammalia; Primates; Hominidae. The record is from RNAcentral.